CCGUAGCCCAAGAGAUCGGGAUAACACCUGGAAACAGAUGCUAAUACCGGAUAACAACAGAUGAUGCCUAUCAACUGUUUAAAAGAAUGGUUCUGCUAUCACUCUUGGAUGGACCUGCGGUGCAUUAGCUAGUUGGUAGGGUAACGGCCUACCAAGGCGAUGAUGCAUAGCCGAGUUGAGAGACUGAUCGGCCACAUUGGGACUGAGACACGGCCCAAACUCCUACGGGAGGCAGCAGGC
RNAcentral lists this ribosomal RNA (240 nucleotides) under uncultured Lactobacillus sp. RNAcentral describes it as "partial 16S ribosomal RNA". It matches the Rfam family "Bacterial small subunit ribosomal RNA", at positions 125 to 354 of the family's 1533-position model. Lineage: Bacteria; Bacillati; Bacillota; Bacilli; Lactobacillales; Lactobacillaceae. The record is from RNAcentral.